UCAGUCAUGCCUGUGUAAUGAAGCCUCUAUAAAAACCCCAAAGGACGGAGCUGGGAGAGCUUCUGGGUUGUUGAAUGCGUGGAGGUGGGGAGAGUGGUGUGCCUAGGGGGCCAUGGAAGCUCUGCUCCCCUUUUCCCCACCUUGCUCUGUGCAUCUGGCUAUUCCCGAGUUCUAUCUUUUUAGGAACCAGUGAUGCAAAACCAGGUGCUUGGAGAUGCUAUUUACUGAGAAAUGGAAGAAUGGAGGAGGAAGGUGAGCACGGGGAAGGCCAAGAGCUCCAUCUUGCACAGAGCCUGUGGAAUCCCAAGAAUCGGGUAGAAGAGUCUUUAUCAAAGGAGGAGGCGUGGCCAAAGAGGUGGGAGAAAAAGAGAAAGCUUUCAAAGGGAGCUGCCAACUUUCUCAGGUGUGGACUGAAGCGUGUCCGGUGGAUCGGGCAAGCUUUAAAACACUGCAUUCCGCAGAAAUUGCUCCAAAGAGGUCAAGAGUGACUUCCACCACUAGGAGCCACAUUGCUGUUGUCAAGGAGGAAAGCUGCAGAGAAGCAAGACAGGAAGACUACAGUGGACCCCACGGUGCUGGAGUAGAGUCAAGAGACAGCAGUAUGGACUUAGGCUUGGCUUAACAUAACGUGCACAUACAGAUAGAUAGACACAGAAACAACUAUAGAUACACGUGUAUACAUGUAUGAGCUACCUGUAUUACUAGCCCUGUCUGCUGAGGGGGCUAAGCAGUAGUGAGCACCCCAGUAGCAGUGAGCACAGUCAAGGUCUAGAUUUGAUUUCUAAUACCAUUCCCCGAUAGAAGAAACCAGGACCCCUUGAAGAAGUGGCUGUUCUUCCUCACCCCAGCUGAGGAAAUAUACAAGAUGAGGUGAGGAAAAUACAAGACGAGCUGGAGCAUCUUGUAGUACCAGAAAGUAGCAAAUGCUUAAAAAAAAAAAAAAAAGAAAGAAAGGAGGAAAGAAAAAAGAGAAAGGAGGAAAGAAAGAGAAAGGAGGAAAGAAAAAAGAAGAAAAGUUUUAGUCCAGGACAUCACGGAUCCUGGUUCUCUUUUCAUCUCACUGGCUAAUUGUCCUUAAUCUCCUUUGCUGAUACUUUCUCAUCUCUCUGAUUUCUAAACAUCGGAAUGUCCCAGGGCUCAGUUUUUGGACUUUUUCUAUGGGGAGAUCACUCCUGGUGAUUUCAUCCAGUUUCAUGGCUUUAAGUGCUGCCUCCAGACCCCAAAUUUCUAUCUUAGCUAAGCCUCUUCUCUGACCCCAGGUUGUAUAUACAGCUGUCUACAUGACCUCUCAGCUGGAUGUCAGCAAGCAGUUAAAAUUCACCUUGACCCAAACUGAGCUCCUGGUCUCCCCCACACAAACUUGCUCUUCCUAUAGUCUGCCCUAUUUUCAUGAUGGCAACUUCCUCCUUUUGGUUGCUCAGGUCAAAACUUUGGAGUCCUCUUUGACUUUUCUCUUUUUCUCUUACCUCACAGUUCAUUAGAAAAAUUCAGCUCUACUUUCAAAAUAUAUGCAGAAUCCAGUCACUGCUCCCCACCUUCAUGGCUACCACUAACUCCAAAUCACCAGUGUCUCAUCUAGAUUACAGAAACAUUUCGAACUGGCCUCCUUGCUUCUUCCGCUGACUUUCUCAGUCCGUUCUCCACAUAUUAACAAGUGAUCCUAUUAAUAUGUGAGUCAGAUCAUGCCCACUCUUUGCUCAAAAUCCUUCAUUUUCCCAACUCUAAGAGUCAAAAUCCUUUCAAUUACGUAGAAGCUUCUACAUGAUCUACGUACCCCACAGUGCGUCCUGACUUGGGAUCCUAUGAAUCUCCUGCUCUCUCGUUCCAUUCCGGUGACACCAAGGGUGCCUUAGGAUCUUUGCACUCACUGCACUUUUUGCCAGGAACGCUGAGUUUGUGGCAAUUUGUUUUGCGGCAACAGAAAACCGAUGCAAAUGGAAUGAUAUGAAAUUGCUGGUAAUCAGCCACAGUUGGCCUUCACAUUGGCAGUUUCUUAUAGUUCUACCUGUUGUGCCAUCCGUCCUUACUCUGAAAGCCCCAAUUUUCUUUCCCUGCUUAUUUUCCCACAAAGAAUGUAUCACCAUCUAUUUUACCAUGUUUUUCUGUUCACUUGUGAUUUCUCACUAGAAGACGGCCAGACACCUUAACGUGUUUCGUUCAUGUUGUAUAUUCCCAAGCUUACGGGGAUGUAUGGCAAAUAGUAGAAAUUCAGUAAAUGUUUGUAAAAUGUCAGAGGAGGUAGGUGGAGGAAGUGGGAAUUAACAUAAACCACUUUGCUGGACAAAAACCUCGAGCUGAAAAAUCUGGUGGGAAAUAAAACAAUAAUAACAACAAACCCAGGAGUUCUGCACCUGCCCUUGAACUGUGGCAUUUCCAGAAACUGGCAUUCUAGGGCAUUUUAGUUUCUGUGUUGAAAUGUUUUUGAUUUAACACAAAACAAAUGAAAAUAAAAACUGGCAUGGAAUACCCUCAGAUGACCAGGUCAGAAAAUCUAGCCAAAUUUAGAAAAUUAGAAAGGGAAACAACAGCAAUCAAGUGGCCACGUUCUUCAAUUCCUCCAUUUGAGGCUAAUGUGGGACCCAGGGAAGAAACACGACAGGCUUCUGAGGAGAGGCUGGGCACUUGGCAGCCGCUCUCCCCUCUGCCCCCAGGACAGGUGAAUGCCUGUGUAUGGAUGAGGGCCCUUUAGACUGAGGUGGAAGA
Felis catus (domestic cat) is the source of this 2703-nucleotide long non-coding RNA. RefSeq lists it as uncharacterized. The record is from RefSeq and is a predicted model, not a curated record. Lineage: Eukaryota; Metazoa; Chordata; Mammalia; Carnivora; Felidae. The transcript has 3 exons.